Molecule: unclassified non-coding RNA, 274 nt
Filed under: uncultured Gigaspora
Lineage: Eukaryota; Fungi; Glomeromycota; Glomeromycetes; Diversisporales; Gigasporaceae
Description: sequence contains ITS2
Source: RNAcentral
AACGCAAAUUGCACUUCUUGGUAUUCCGAGGAGUACACAUGCUUGAGGGUCAGUUAAAAAAAAAAAUCGUACAUCACUGAUGUUGCGGAUCUGGGUAUUCCGAUUUUAUAAAUUGGUUACCUAAAAUUAAUGCGGAUAUGUAAUGUGAAGCGUACUAAUUAUGUAGUCGCUAAUCAUUUAUAUACUUAUUACAUUACAACUAAAGUAUUUAGUUGGUGGUGUAUAAAUUUAUGAGAAUGACCUCAAGUCAUGUGAGAGUACCCGCUGAACUUAA